CCCUUAGAUGUUCUGGGCUGCACGCGCGCUACACUGAUGCGCUCAACGAGUUUUAACCUUGCCUGGAAAGGUUGGGUAAUCUUUUUAAAACGCAUCGUGAUGGGGAUAGAUUAUUGCAAUUAUUAAUCUUCAACGAGGAAUUCCUAGUAAGCGCGAGUCAUCAGCUCGUGCUGAUUACGUCCCUGCCCUUUGUACACACCGCCCGUCGCUCCUACCGAUUUCGAGUGGUCCGGUGAACCUUUCGGACAGAGAGAGUCUCGUACAAUCUCUGAAAGUCAAGUAAACCACAUCACUUAGAGGAAGGAGAAGUCGUAACA
This 317-nucleotide ribosomal RNA is filed under the name uncultured eukaryote. RNAcentral's name for it is "partial 18S ribosomal RNA". It matches the Rfam family "Eukaryotic small subunit ribosomal RNA", at positions 1470 to 1796 of the family's 1831-position model. The record is from RNAcentral.